GAGUUUGAUCCUGGCUCAGAACGAACGCUGGCGGCGCGCCUAAUACAUGCAAGUCGAGCGAGAAGGUGUAGCAAUACACUUGUAAAGCGGCGAACGGGUGAGGAAUGCAUGGGUAACCUACCCUCGAGUGGGGAAUAACUAGCCGAAAGGUUAGCUAAUACCGCAUACGUUUCCGGAACUUCGGUUUCGGAAAGAAAGCAAUACCGUGGGUAUUGCGCUCCUGGAUGGGCUCAUGUCCUAUCAGCUUGUUGGUGAGGUAACGGCUCACCAAGGCUUCGACGGGUAGCUGGUCUGAGAGGACGAUCAGCCACACUGGCACUGCGACACGGGCCAGACUCCUACGGGAGGCAGCAGUAAGGAAUAUUGCGCAAUGGACGAAAGUCUGACGCAGCGACGCCGCGUGGGGGAUGAAGGUCUUCGGAUUGUAAACCCCUUUCGGGAGGGAAGAUGGAGUGGGUAACCACUUGGACGGUACCUCCAGAAGCAGCCACGGCUAACUUCGUG
This 504-nucleotide ribosomal RNA is filed under the name uncultured bacterium. RNAcentral describes it as "bacterial SSU rRNA". It matches the Rfam family "Bacterial small subunit ribosomal RNA", at positions 9 to 507 of the family's 1533-position model. The record is from RNAcentral.